Molecule: ribosomal RNA, 700 nt
Filed under: uncultured bacterium
Lineage: Bacteria
Description: bacterial SSU rRNA
Rfam family: Bacterial small subunit ribosomal RNA
Source: RNAcentral
UGCAAGUCGAACGAUUAAAGCUCUCUUCGGAGAGUGCAUAAAGUGGCGCACGGGUGAGUAACACGUAAGUAAUCUACCCUCGGGUGGGGAAUAACGUCCGGAAACGGACGCUAAUACCGCAUAAUGCAGCGGCACCAUAUGGUGACAGUUGUUAAAGGAGAAAUUCGCCUGGGGAGGAGCUUGCGGCAGAUUAGCUUGUUGGUAGGGUAACGGCCUACCAAGGCGACGAUCUGUAGCCGGUCUAAGAGGACGGUCGGUCACACUGACACUGAAUAACGGGUCAGACUCCUACGGGAGGCAGCAGUCGGGAAUUUUGGGCAAUGGGCGAAAGCCUGACCCAGCAACGCCGCGUGAAGGAUGAAGUAUUUCGGUAUGUAAACUUCGUAAGAAUGGGAAGAAACAAAUGACGGUACCGGGUGUAAGCCCCGGCUAACUACGUGCCAGCAGCCGCGGUAAUACGUAGGGGGCAAGCGUUGUUCGGAUUUACUGGGCGUAAAGGGCGCGUAGGCGGCGGGACAAGUCACUUGUGAAAUCUCUGAGCUUAACUCAGAACGGCCAAGUGAUACUGUCUUGCUAGAGUGCAGAAGGGGCAAUCGGAAUUCUUGGUGUAGCGGUGAAAUGCGUAGAUAUCAAGAGGAACAUCUGAGGCGAAAGCGGGUUGCUAGGCUGACACUGACGCUGAGGCGCGAAAGCUAGGGGA